Molecule: long non-coding RNA, 187 nt
Filed under: Fukomys damarensis (Damara mole-rat)
Lineage: Eukaryota; Metazoa; Chordata; Mammalia; Rodentia; Bathyergidae
Description: lncRNA (ENSFDAG00000028281.1)
Source: RNAcentral
CAGCUUCCUACCGCAGCCUCCUGACUCUGAAGACUGAAGUCUCGACUACUUGUCGGCAGUGGUUUCUUCCCAGUUUUUGUAGAAAUACCAAAAAUCAAGGUUGGGAAAUACAAGGAGAAAUAUUGACAGAAUCAUCUUCUUUUCCCAGGAAACUUGGAUGCUAGUGCCCAAUGAUGCCCAUCAACGC